Molecule: unclassified non-coding RNA, 254 nt
Filed under: uncultured fungus
Lineage: Eukaryota; Fungi
Description: partial contains 5.8S ribosomal RNA, internal transcribed spacer 2, and large subunit ribosomal RNA
Rfam family: 5.8S ribosomal RNA (bases 1-52)
Source: RNAcentral
AACGCACCUUGCGCCUUUUGGUAUUCCGAAAGGCAUGCCUGUUUGAGUGUCAUGUAGACUCAACUCUCGAGAGGUUUCUUGCGAGUUGGAUUUGGGUGUUGCCAUUUGGCUCGCCUUAAAAGUGUUAGUGGUUUAAGCACUUGAUCGGACGUGAUAAGUUUCGUCCGGCCGUGUGUUGUCGACCGCUCCUAAACCGCCUUGCGGCGCUCUUUGACUCUGACCUCAAAUCAGGUAGGACUACCCGCUGAACUUAA